This 2747-nucleotide long non-coding RNA is filed under the name Zea mays. RNAcentral describes it as "long non-coding RNA (ZMAY_LNC001659)". The record is from RNAcentral. Lineage: Eukaryota; Viridiplantae; Streptophyta; Magnoliopsida; Poales; Poaceae.
AAGUGCCAUAACCACCGAGUCAGUUGCGCCUGCUGGUCACCACCUUGGCCUUGCCCCUCGCGGCUAUAUAGCUUGGUACCCCAUUCAUCUCAUGGGUGUCAGUCGCCGCGGUGAUACCAGGGAGAGAAAGAGUUGUCGGGCGAGAUCGAUGCCGGCGCACCCACAUCAUGUGUCCGCCAUGGAUCGGUGUCCGAGGAAUAGUCACGGAGGUUCACCUACGAUUGUGGAGUGCAUUCAGGCAAGCCCUCGGACGCGAUGGUCACCGGAGCUUGACAAAUCGCUCGCCGGAGCGAGGAAACCACUGUCGGGCCGCUCCAUCGCGUCGCCAGCAUUACUUGGGCAACAAUCGCCGGUAAGGAAGCCGCCAUCAAGUUCGCCUCUCCCUCCUCUUUAUGAAUCUUAGGAUUAGUUGGGGGAUAGGGCACCGGGACACCGGAUCAUUGAACUCCUGCGAACGUGCCACCGUGGGAGCUUCGCUCCGCCGCGUGGGUGUGCCUAAUGGCAUGGGGCGUGGUAGUCAUCAGAUACCGGAUGAACGCACAUGAUUAAGCCAUCAAAUAACCUUUCGGUUGGAUGAAUCUUCACCGUUGGAUCAAGAUCUGGUAAUCAAGAAAGCAUAUCGGUUCAGCAUUUAAUCUGGACCGUUCACGUGACCAUGAGCGGACUUGAUUAAAAGGUUAGCAUACCCCUUCAGUCUUCUAACCUGAGCCUUGAAUUUAGAUCCAACGGCCAGAUCAUGCCCAUGUAUAAGUCGUCGCGACAACUUUACAAAUGAGACCCUAGAAAAUAGUGAAACUAACCCACAGUCCAUGUAAAUGUAAAGAUUAAUACAUUUAGGCCCUAGAUUUAAUAAAUUUAACCCUGAACUAUACAGUAAUGGGCGCAGCCGUCCAUGGAUUUGUUAGUUUGGAUAAAAUAAAUCUGGAAAUGAUUUCUAGUACAAAAAUAAAUCCCAGAAACUUGUUUUAAUCAUACCUCCUACAUUUUAGCUUCGAUUAAACUCGUUCAAGUUGCGUUAGCUUCGCAAUAAUAUUGCAUACGCUACAGUAACAUUAUUUUACCAAGUAACAUGUUUUCCAAAAUAGGUAUUCUGUUUAACCUAUGUUAGUAGAUUAACCUUUCUAAUCAAAGUUAAUCUGCCUAUAAUUAUAGGUUGACUAACAUAUGAUUCCUAAUUAAGUUAUAACUUAGAUUAAGCUUAAAUUCGUUAUUUCUUUAGAAUAUCUUUCUCACAUGAUAUAUAAUAAUCAACAUAGAACAUAGUUUUCCUGUUUAAUCACAUAAAUCUUCCGAAAACCAUAACUUUCUAAUCGUAACUCCGAUUCUAGUGGUUCUCGAACCUACGAUCUCGUAGCGACAAGUAGAAUAUUCCUACGAAGCUUGUUCUCAUGUUUGGUGUAAUGUUAUUUUUGUGUACUCCUUGUCUAUUUGUAUGUAUUGCUACGAGUAGCAGUGAGGUCACGAGAAACCCGAAGACCAACUUGGUGAAGUACAUGUAAUCGCAAGUAUAAGGAAAGUUAUGCCCUUGAUCACUCUCUUCUUUGCCUAAUAAUGUUCCAUGUUAAUCACUACGACAUGCUCAGGUUAUUUUAUGGGACCUAAUAGGUUUCACUAGUUUUGUUUACCUCACACCUUGCAAUCAAGUGAACUAUUGGGUAGAUUUUUUAUUUCUCUACCUGGUUUUGGGAUUAAUGUUAUAUCUGAUUUAUGAUCAUGAUCCAUUAAUACCAUUGGUUUAAUUAUUGUUCAUGAUAAGAUUAUUGUGUUAAUUGGAACAUGGAGCUUAACUUGAGAUAACAGUGCUACCACAAGGGUGGAAUGGGACGCCCUUGGCUAAGUAAUUAGGAAAGCUAGGGAGAGAUUACCUUACCCGAAAGGGGCAAGCGGGACGGCAUCGCUGCAGAGUAUAGGGAGGUUAUCGGGUCGAACUGUCUGUUAAGCUUUUCGGAUGAGGGAUUCCUAUGCUUCCUUCUUCCUAAAUCCAUAGCGGGUAUUCUCGAACUAGUGGAACUUUGGAAAGACCUCGUAGUGCUACCCUACCUCGUCUCCUCGGUAGAGAUGAAUGGGAAGUCGUGACCCCUUGGCAAAUGGGUAACACGACUUGUGGGUAAAGAUGUGCAACCUCUGUAGAGUAUAAAACUGCUAUAUCAUUCAUGCUCACGAUCAAGAGCGACUUAGGACUCUUGCACUAUUAACUUAUGGAAUUAAACUUAAUUUGUGAUAUGCAUUGCAUUGUGGGUUUUAUUACUAAUUGUGAUCUCUUAUUUAAUUGGGUUGGUAUUUACUUAUACUUAGUAACUACUAAUAAAACUUUGACCAACUUUAAAAGCAAUGCUGAGCUCUAACCAUCUUCUUUGGUAAGCCUUACACUUCACAUGAGUCCCCAAUGUAAGUGAGCUCAUGCACACUAUUCCCUACAACUUGUUGAGCGAUGAACGUAUGUGAGCUCACCCUUGAUGUACUCACAUCCCCCAGGUCAAGGAUAGGUACCACAAGAUAAGGAGGAUGAAGGAUGCCACGGUGAGUUCGUGAGAGGUCUAGUUCGUCGUCUCCCAAUCAACUAUGGUUGCAGAGGAUCGUUUUCUUCUUAUGAUGUAAUUAUUUAGCUAUUUUGUAUAGAACUCCUUUUAUAUAGUAAAGAUGUGACAUUCGUUUCUGUACCAUGAGUCAUCAUAUGUGUGAGACUUGAUCCUAGCACACAUUGGAGACGCACCCGGGUUUGCCCCUUAAAUCUGAGUGUGACAUUG